Long non-coding RNA from Saccostrea cuccullata (small rock oyster), 652 nucleotides. RefSeq lists it as uncharacterized. NCBI's taxonomy places the organism in Eukaryota, Metazoa, Mollusca, Bivalvia, Ostreida, Ostreidae. The record is from RefSeq and is a predicted model, not a curated record. The transcript has 4 exons.
ACUGAUGUUGUGGAAGACUUUGAUGUUCCAGACUUCGUCGAUAAUUCAGGUCCCACUCAUCAGCUCUCUUCGGAUGCAAAUCCUCUGUUAUAUUUCCUGCUUUUGUUUCCCUUGAGUCUGGUACAGGUACUUGUGGACAACACCAAUUCGUAUGCUGCUCAGAGUGGAGCCCAGGGUUGGACGGAUACCACUAUCGACGAGAUGAAGGCAUUCCUCGGAUUACAAAUUCUGAUGGGGAUUAUUCAGCUUCCCAGAUACACUAUGUAUUGGUCAUCUGAUAAGUUUAUCGAUGUUGAGCUGACCAAUGUCUUCAAACCUUUACCAUGAAACAACUCGGAUCAUAAACUUUUCUAAAUAUUGAGGAAUAUGUUGAAUAUAAAAUGAAAAUACUUUACACCUGCUUAGUGCUCUUCUGGAAUUGGCAGUGUAACAUUGGUUUUCAAGAAACGCUGAGUUUGAAAAGAUUUGAAAAGCUCACUCGGUAUUUCCAUCUAAGUGAUAAUACUACUCAGGGAGCCAGAGGAACACCUGAAUUUGACAGAUUACACAAAAUAAGACCUGUACUUGAUGAGACGAGAAGGACAUUCCGGAGUCAGAUGAAUCCACCUAAGCAACAGGCUAUUGACGAGGGCAUGGUUAAGUACAAAGGGAG